CAAACACCCCCUCAGUUGGGGAAAUUAUUCUAGGAUUUGUCAAUCUUUCCCAACAUCUCUCUCUCUCAUCGACAUGGCUUCUCAAAGAGGUGGAGCACGCGAUCUGUGGGUGGAGAUCGCGUCUCAAGAAGCAGCUGAAGAAGAUUGAGGAGUUGUUUCAAAACCCCAGAUUGCUGUUGUUUAUGGAAGACGAAGAGUGGAGAGUGAAAACCCUAGGGAAGUUCAAAAGUUGUAAAUGUUCUCACUUUACUAUCUCAAUUUCUUGAGAUUUCAAUUUUGGGGAAAAUUUGUGAGUUUUUGGGGUAUUUUUUGUUUUUUUAAGAGAAAGAAGUCGGUCGAGUAGAGAGAAUCGGGCGAGCUUUGCUCCGACUAAGAGGAUUAGCUAGCAGCGCUCUCUUUCCAUCAGAAUGGUAGGUUGGAAAAUACCAUUUCAAUUCUAUCAUUAGCCAAAGCAUGUAUACAGGCUACUUAUCUUUCAGAAUGCUACCAUCCAUUCACCAUGCCUCUCUUGACUACAGAUCUUCCAUAGAAAAAUAUGACACUUUAGGGGAAGCUAUACUCUUCCUUGACUUAUAUGCUUACCCUUUAAUGUUCGAGGGUCCUAAACGAGACAAACAGUUUUCCGAGGACAAAUGUCCUAUGGUUAAUAUAUUUGGUGGACAUUUUGUUGACGAAGAAAUUCUUCAAACGAACUACAAAAGAUGAAAGGAAACUUCGAUCCCUUAAGAAGUGCCUCAAUUUAUAUGACUGCUAAAGAUUCUCUUUCUGAUAGCUUCUUCAGUAGUCUACUGGAUCAUCAUGACAUGGUGUGAAUAGGAUAUUGUUGCGAUUUCAGAUCAUUGUUGUCAGAACUCGACCAAAAAUGAGAAGAAGGAGAAUGUUGAGAAAGGAGAGGGUGCAGCAGAGUCAACAGAAACUAAAGAGGAUGUGGAGCCAGAAAUUACUUUGAGGCCGUUAAACAUGGAAGACAUGAGGCAUGCUAAGAAUCAAGUUUCUGCCAGCUUUGCUACCGAAGGUUCUGUUAUGAGCGAACUAAGGCAAUGGAAUGACUUAUACAGAGAAGGCGGUUCAAGAAAGAAGGAGCAGAUGUCUUACUUCCUUUAAAUCAUACAUGUAUUAAUACACGGACACGCGCGCAUUCGAGAUCAAGACAAAAUGUAAAGACGGUUGGUAGAAGUUGAAGAGAGGACAUGAGAUUGUUGGUUCCUAUCCUAUUUAUUUGUGGAGAUCAACAUGACUGAGGGAGGGAUAGGAAAACAGAAAUAGGCGAAUGUAGUUAAGAUAGUAUGUUGUAUAAUAUUCUUUUGACAUCCCAUAUGUGUAUGAUAGGUGUGCCUAAUGUAUUGUAUUUGUUCUGGUUUCAUUGUUUUAGAUUAUGUAUAUAUAAUAUUGGAUAUUUAGCACCGUUUGAGAUA
Molecule: long non-coding RNA, 1415 nt
Organism: Asparagus officinalis (garden asparagus)
Lineage: Eukaryota; Viridiplantae; Streptophyta; Magnoliopsida; Asparagales; Asparagaceae
Exons: 8
Source: RefSeq, a predicted model, not a curated record